CCUACGGGGGGCAGCAGUGAGGAAUAUUGGUCAAUGGGCGUAAGCCUGAACCAGCCAAGUCGCGUGAGGGAUGAAGGUUCUAUGGAUCGUAAACCUCUUUUAUAAGGGAAUACAGUGUGGGACGUGUCUUAUUUUGUAUGUACCUUAUGAAUAAGGAUCGGCUAACUCCGUGCCAGCAGCAGCGGUAAUAUGGAGGAUCCGAGCGUUAUCCGGUUUUAUUGGGUUUAAAGGGUGCGUAGGCGGGCCUUUAAGUCAGCGGUGAAAGUCUGUGGCUCAACCAUAGAAUUGCCGUUGACACUGGGGGGCUUGAGUAUGUUUGAGGCAGGCGGAAUGCGUGGUGUAGCGGUGAAAUGCGUAGAUAUCACGCAGAACCCCGAUUGCGAAGGCAGCCUGCCAGGCCAUGACUGACGCUGAUGCACGAAAGCGUGGGGAUCAAACAGGAUUAGAUACCCCAGUAGUC
This 460-nucleotide ribosomal RNA is filed under the name uncultured bacterium. RNAcentral's name for it is "partial 16S ribosomal RNA". It matches the Rfam family "Bacterial small subunit ribosomal RNA", at positions 338 to 795 of the family's 1533-position model. The record is from RNAcentral.